Molecule: ribosomal RNA, 411 nt
Filed under: uncultured bacterium
Lineage: Bacteria
Description: bacterial SSU rRNA
Rfam family: Bacterial small subunit ribosomal RNA
Source: RNAcentral
GUGUCAGCCGCCGCGGUAAUACGUAGGGUGCAAGCGUUAAUCGGAAUUACUGGGCGUAAAGCGAGCGCAGGCGGUUGUGUAAGACAGAUGUGAAAUCCCCGGGCUCAACCUGGGAACUGCGCUUGUGACUGCAAGGCUAGAGUACGGCAGAGGGGGGUGGAAUUCCACGUGUAGCAGUGAAAUGCGUAGAGAUGUGGAGGAACACCAAUGGCGAAGGCAGCCCCCUGGGUCGAUACUGACGCUCAUGCACGAAAGCGUGGGUAGCAAACAGGAUUAGAUACCCUGGUAGUCCACGCCCUAAACGAUGUCAACUGGUUGUUGGGAAUUAACUUUCUCAGUAACGAAGCUAACGCGUGAAGUUGACCGCCUGGGGAGUACGGCCGCAAGGUUAAAACUCAAAGAAAUUGACGG